Molecule: long non-coding RNA, 5976 nt
Filed under: Equus asinus (donkey)
Lineage: Eukaryota; Metazoa; Chordata; Mammalia; Perissodactyla; Equidae
Description: lncRNA (ENSEASG00005031267.1)
Source: RNAcentral
CGGGAGACCGCGGAUGGGCAGGGUCUGCGAAGGGGCGGCGGCCGGCAGGGACAAUGGGCACAGCUGCUGGCGAACGGCCCGGCCCUUCGCCGGCUGCAGCGGACACGUGUCGGUCGCUGCGUUUGGAGGGACGGACUUAAUGGUGGCCUCGCAGCGGGCGGAGCGGGACAGGUUUGCAAAGCAAAGCCCUCCCCGCAGGAUCUGGGGCUCACUCUGGCCCGGGAGCCCAGGACCGGAGGCCCAGGAAAGGGCGCAGGGGCACAGGACGCCCGGGACCCGCCCCUCCGGGUAGGGUCUGGGGGCGGAAAUCCUUCCUGGGACCCCCCAGCGGCGAGUGGGGACCGGACGCGGGUCCCGACCUGUGCCGGCGCUCACCUGGUGGCCCGCUCGGAGGCGGCGGCAGGCAAAGAUCCCCUUCCCCCCGCUGCUCCGGGAGGCGGGCGGGGGCUCCCCGGAUCGGCCCCCCAGGGAGCCCCGGGGCGGGCGGUCCUCCCCCGGGGGUGCUGGCGGCCGCGGCGGCUCUGGAUGCGGCCCGCCCUCCUCGGGCGGCUGUGCCGGCGGGCGGGACCCGGGAGCGCGGCGGGCGCCGGGCCGGGCCCAGCUGCCACGAGGCGGGCGGGGACCAGAGCCAGCCCCGCGCUCCCGGGUCUGGGGGCCCGCCCCUCGGGGAGCCUGCGCGGUCCCCACGUGGGGACCUGCGGCCCCGGCGCCCCGCGAUCUGACACCUGGGUCCCCGGCGCCCAGCCCGCCGCCUCCUCUGGGGACGCCCCCGGUUCCCCCAGGACCCCCAGACCCGGGUUUCUUUCUCACCCCGGCCUCCCGCCUCCAGCCGCCUCCGCCAUUCGCAACACCUCCCCACCAUCUGUCCCCUGCUCUUACGUGGCUUAGCUGAGACUGUGACGCUGGGCCUGGUUUGAAACACUGGAUCAGAGUUCCUCCCGCGGGGAUCCUCUCUAACUUACAUCGUGUCCCCAGAGCCUCGGAAACCCGGCCUGCUCCCACGCUGAGCCUCGCUACCCCGCUUACUUCUCUGCGGCCGCGACAACCUGUGCCCCCUGCUUUGGAAACCCGCCUCCCCCGCCUGUAUGACACACAACUGGAUUAACCCGAGGUUCAGGGCCAGCGAGGCCGAGGCCACCAGCUAUUUGUCCCCUGCCCUCUGCCCUUGGGCCCGCACCGUUCCUGCAUUGCCCUAGAUUGUCCAAAGGUCCUCAAGUGACUGCUCUCAGACAUCCCAGGGCCGGUCCCCUGAAUGCCAGGCCGCCCACCACGAGUAAAGCCUCGCUGGCACUCGCUCAUGGUGUGCACUGUGCGCGAUGCUUUAUAGGCACGACCCCAGGGACGCUCUCCUGGGAAACUGAGGCCCAGAGAAAUGUAGGCUCUGCACCCGGUGCAAGUCGCUUGCUUGGGGGGAGGGGGGGUGGUCACACGACAGGAAAGUGUUCGGGCGUGGGUUCCCCGGUCCCCUCCGCUAGGAGCUUCUGCAAGGGACCCCAGCGCCAUUGCCAGGACCGCGUGGGAUCCCGCGUGCAGCGCCGAGGGAUCCUUACCUCUCCGUCACCUGGACCCACCGCCUUUCCGAGCAUUUCUGUCGCAGAAGGCGAUAGGAGGCAUAUACCGUACACAGAGUUCUGCAAUAGUCCCAGCAGAGUGACGGCCGUGCUCCGUGAUCUCGCGAUGUUUCUGCUUCAAAGCGCGUCUGGAGAGGAGCACACGCGUAGCGGAGGAAUAGAAGUUAUAAAUCCCCCCGAUGUCGCUUCAGUCGGGUCUUACUGGGUGGAGAGCUGGGGGCCUAAUUGGUGAAGAAAGUUUGCUUGCGGACUGGAGAUAAUAGCAAUGACUUUUUCUUUCUUUUAUUGAUACCAUCAAUAAGCGCCUGCUGUGCACCAGAUGCAGACCGCAUGGAUGAUGUGGGUUUACAGGCACCAUGCGAUUUAUGUCAAUAAAGGAUACCAGCUUAUUUUAGAUGAGUUAGAAAAAUCACAGGGGACUCCAGUAAAAUAAUUGGAUCAUCAAAGGAUGCUAAAACCAUUGGUAAAGGUUGUUGCGGAACAUUCUAGAAUCAUCCCCCCCCCCAGAUGACUUAUUCAUUACAAAGGGGAAAAAAUGUACCUACCUAGUGAGGGGGAGUGGGUUCUGGCAGACACCCUCUUAACCGAGUGAUCAAUAUCCCCAAAGUGGGACAGCGUGACAUCAAGUCAAGUGCCUCUUGAUGUGAAACUAUAGGAAGUACACAAAAGUGCCUAUGCGGAACUCUUGUAAAAAAAAAAAAAAAAAGCUAAACCUGUGUUUAGUAAUGAAGGAUAUACCCAAGAUAACUGGCCAGGGCUUUUUUCAAAAAAAGAGACGUAACACCCAAAUGCGGUGUGCACGGUGACCGGGUCCCGGCUGGGCCGUUCGCUCUGGGUGCUCUCUUGCUCUGCUGGUUUCUUCUCCUGUCUGGUGCUGCUCUCCUGCUCCUAGCCAUUCUCCAAGGAGAGGCGAGGCCACUGCCUGGAGGUGAUGGCGGUGUGCUUUCUGCUGGAAGCCUGGGCCUGUUUUCCUCUGCCCUUGAGUUGGAGCAUGAAUGGCAGCUUUGUGGCCGGGUGUGGGGCUAGCCGCCAGGCUGGCCUCACAUGUGGGUUGGUGAGGCCAGGAGCCCACUUCCUGCCACCCCUCCCUUCUACCACAAGUGCCAGAAGAGGACUGGCUUUUUUAAGAAGCCAGCCCCUCCCUCGUUCCCACCUCAGCUGUCAGAGAGUUGGGUCUUCUUAGGGAUCCACCCUGCAGUCCUUGUUUUCCUCGACGUGAGUGGGGGGUGGCCUGUGCCCUGGAGAAAGGGGACGUGGGAUGGUGCACAAAAUGCAGGCAGGCUGUCAUCGGGGCCGUCUUGGCUAUCUUUUCUCACUCCUGCCUCCUCCCCACAACCCAGGUGAUGCUGGGUUCCCUCUUGCGGGCAGCCCUCUCCUGAAUGACCUCUGAUUCCUGUCCCCACGCCUCUACCUGAUUUGUCUGCCAGAACUGUGUGGGCAUCUCCCCAGUGGAGAUGGUCUCUGUGGGUCAUUGACUAAUGGUCCCCUAAAGAUGUCCACGCCUGGAUCCUUGGAACCUGCGAAUGUUCCCUUACAUGGCAAAAGGGAUAUUGCAGAUGGAGGAGGUGAAGGAUCUUGAAACGGGGAGGUUAACCUGGUUUCUCUGGGCGGGUCCUGAAUGGAAUCCCAGUGGUCCUCCUAAGAGGGGGACAGGAGGAGGCGGGGAUGGCAGUGGACAACAGAAGCAGAGAUUGCAGUGACGAGAUGUGAAGAGCGAGGAAGAGGCCACCAGCCCAGGAAGAAAGGUGGAAGAAACCAGGAAGAAAGGUGGCCGCUAGACACUGAAAAAGGCAAGGACACGGAUUCCCCACUCAGCAUCUCCAGAAGGGACCAACCGGGCCAACACCUUGACUUCAGCCCAGUGAAACUGACUUGGAACUUUUAACUCCCAGAACGCUAAAAGAAUACAUUGUGUUGUUUUAAGGCACUAAGCUGAUGGCAAUUUGUUCCAGCAGCCACAGGAAAGAACACAGUCUCCUUCUCAAUCUUUUUGCCGUUGUCAGUUGACUUGCUUUUUUAUUCCACUGCUUUAUACAAAUGAGAGAGUGUAAGGACACUCUGAGAUGGCGGGCUCCGGGUCAGACCUUAUCUCUUGGUGACACCCCUAAUUCCUGAGCUCCCCAAGGCAAGUCUCUGUGUUGUCAGUUUCCUUAUGGUGUGAGGAUCAAGUCGGACGAUGCCGAAGUCACGGGUUGGCAGCCUCCAGUUUAGAGUAGACCCACAGGAGGAUCUCCUCUCCUGGUUUCAGGGGCACCGUGAGCCCCUGGGUCAGUCAUUAGCCUGACAAUCUGAUUUUUCUGUCUCAUUGAGUCUGCGUUCCACCCCUGGGAGCUCUCCGGAACUCUGUUUUGUCUCCUGUCAAGAACCCGUUGCAGGUCCUUCCAGUUGUGGGACGUGGGACGCCACCUCAACAUGUCCUAAGGAGCAGUGCCAUGUCUGCACCCAGGAUCCGAACACUGGGCCGCCACAGCGGAGCGCAUGAACUUACCCACUUGGCCAUGGAGCCGGCCCCUCUUUCCCUUCUUUGUCUGUCUCAUUCAUCACCUCCUCUGUUGUCACCAAGUUGACGUUAAGUUUGAGCUGGACCUGAGCAGAACCUGGAUCUUCUAUAAAAUCAAAAACUUGAAAAACUUUCUGCCAGGGACUUAACUCUCAACCCUGGCAUUGAGAGCCUCAGCCUCCGGCCUGCCCCAGGCCUUUGCCUCUUGCCUCCUGGGCUUGCCUUGUUCUGGCUCAGGGACUAAGUGCCUGGGCUGAAUGGGACUUGACUAAAUCUUAUAACUAUGUUGACACCUGCAGUUGGGCUCUGCACGCUACUCCGGCUGCUGACAGCCAGACACUGAUGGUGCUUUACCACCAUGGGGAACGCCCAAAGCAUCCCCAGAGACUCACCCCUCGAGUGCAUUUUAACUAAUUGAGAACAGUUUCAACUGGAUGGGUUAUGCCCCAGAAACUCCAUCUGGGAGAAAACUUGAGUGGUUUCUCUGUGCCUUUAUGAAGCAAUUGGACAGGUAGAUGAAUUCAUAACCCAAUUUCUGAGAAAUCAAGAGCAAUGAUCCUUAAAAAAAUCCUUGCAAGACUGGAAAUGCAGCUCUAGAGGCAGGUCAAGUUCCACCCAUUUCCUUUAUCUCAAAGAGCUUGCCAACCCUCCAGGGAAUAUCUAGCCCAUCACAAAUUCUUAAGACUGAAAGGGGGAAAAAAAGGAAAAAAGAAAAAAAAAAAGGCCAAAAGAGUGCUCCUGCCAAAAAUCUAGCAUCUUGAAUGUCUUCUCCACAAAUAUUAGUAAAAAGUCUUUUUUUUGUUUGUUUUUGAGGAAGAUUAGCCCUGAGCUAACAUCUGCCACCAAUCCUCCCUCUGCCGAGGAAGACUGGCCUGAGCCAACAUCGUGCCUGUCUUCCUCCACCUCACACGUGGUACGUCCACCACAGCAUGUCCCGCCAAGCGAUGCCAUGUUUGCACCCGGGAUCCGAACCAGUGAACCCCGGGCCACCGAAGCAGAAUGUGUGAAAUUAACCACUGCACCACCAGGCAGGCCCCUAGUGAAAAGUCUUAAAACAAAAUUUGGAUUCAUAACUAGUGUAUUACUGUACCUGAUUCAUGCUAGUCAUUUUAAAACAAUAGAUGUGGAGACUCUGUGCAUGUGUAUCUUCAUGUAUAUUAUACAUGUGUGAUAUUUUACCUCUGGAUGGAUGGCUAAAAUUAAGAGCCCUCUUUAAUUGGCUCAAAGUAAACACUUACCUAAAUUACUUCUAAAUGUAAAAGAAACUAACCAAAAUGUCUUUCAUUAACGUGAUAAAGUUAAUAUUUGGUAAAUGAAAGCUUAUUUAUGUUUGUUGGUUUGAUUAAAAUGGACAUGUCCUCCAGAGUUAGCACCGGAUAUGAUGCAGACUUGCAGGCUUUAUUCUACGUUUAUUGGUCAAACAAGCUGAUGUAAUCUCUGUUACAAAAAUGGCAACAAAAAUAACAACUUAAAAUGAUGGCUAAUUUUGUGUAAUGUCUCAUGAAGUUUUGCAGGCAAUCUAAAUAAUUAUUGGGAAUGAGUAAACUGAAUAGAAGUGAACAAGAUAAAAAUGUUGGGUGAACUUUUUAACAGUAAUUAUGUGUUAUGCCAUGUGUAUUUAAAAUAACUUUCAAAAUCUUUCUUGUAACUUGAAGCUUUGAGGUUUCAUUAGGUGAAAUUAAGAGAUAAAAAACUCAUUGGAUAUCUGGGCCAUUUUCAAAUAAGAUAAUAUACUGAUACAUUAUUGCUAAACACAUCUAAGUUUAUCUACUUUUGGCUUCUUAUUACAGAGAAACUAAAAGAUGUUUGGGUCUAUUGGUAAGCAUGUCUUGUAUUUUAUUAAGACUGUACUAUGAAGUAGGAUGUUUCUAGAAAUUAUGGAAAGUAUUUAUAAAUUUGUCAAGC